This 860-nucleotide non-coding RNA is filed under the name Trichomonas vaginalis G3. Its description in RNAcentral is "Eukaryotic large subunit ribosomal RNA". It matches the Rfam family "Eukaryotic large subunit ribosomal RNA", at positions 2386 to 3401 of the family's 3401-position model. Lineage: Eukaryota; Parabasalia; Trichomonadida; Trichomonadidae. The record is from Rfam by way of RNAcentral.
CUAGAUAUCCAGGGGGGAAAGAAGACCCGGUAGAGCUCCACUUUGGUCUAGUCUUGUAUAGUUCCUGCGGGGGUGUAGACUAGGUGGGAGAGCAAUCGAUUCUGAAAAACCACUACCCUGUUUGGAAUUAUGCUUACCUAUCACAAGGAAUAGGACUAGAUAGAAAGUUUGGCUGGGGCGGCACACCUUCGAAAGAGCAGCGAAGGUGUCCCUAAGUUGAGCUCAGUGAGGACAGAAAUCUCACGUUGAGGAUAAGGCCAAAAGCUCAAUUUACUGUGCCUUUUUGUACUAGGAUCAGUUACGAAAGUAAGGCCUAACGAUCCCUAAAUAGCCUCAGGUGCGUGAGGAUUGGGGUGACAGACAAGUUACCUCCGGGACAACUGGCUUGUGGCUGCUAAGAGAUCAAAUCAACGCAGCUUUUUGAUUCUUCGAUGUCGGCUCUUCCUAUCCUAGUGAUGUACAAGUUGCUAAGGGUCGGAUUGUUCACCCGUAUUAGGGAUCGUGAGCUGGGUUUAGACCGUCGUGAGCCAGGUUUGUUUUAUCCUACUGGAUAUAGCAUCAUGAUAGUAGAUUGAUUUAGUACGAGAGGAACUGUUGAUUAUGGCCUCUGGUUAGCGAUUAUCGGAAACGGUAUGUCGCGCAGCUACGCCGUCUGGGAUAAUGGCUGAAAGCCUCUUAAGCCAGAAGCCCAUCUAGAAAGUGAUGCACGUGAUGUUGGACCGAUACGAAUAAUCAUACUCAAAAGGUCCGCUUCAUAGGUAACCCAAUGUAGAAGACAUUGUGUGAACGAAGGUACUGUAAGCAGUGGAGUGGCAUUACGUCCACGACCUGUUGAGGUUCAGCUUCGCUUCUAGGUUUCC